Cataglyphis hispanica is the source of this 2182-nucleotide long non-coding RNA. RefSeq lists it as uncharacterized. Lineage: Eukaryota; Metazoa; Arthropoda; Insecta; Hymenoptera; Formicidae. The transcript has 4 exons. The record is from RefSeq and is a predicted model, not a curated record.
CCAGGCGUCGCUUUUUCACCCGCACAUCUACGAGACUAGCCAACGAGAGGAGGUCGCAUAGGACUCUCGAGCGCGAAUGAAGAGAGGGAAGGAGGGGAGGAGACCUUUCGGGCUAUCUGAUAAAGCGGAAUAUUCUGGUGCACGAGAUCGACGGGACGCGGAUCAAUAAUGUGUGCUCUACGAAUCCGCUGCUGCGCAUCAUACUGAUUUCGCCCGAAAAGUCGAAAUACAGAAACAAGAGGCGAAUUCACUCGCCGUUAAUGCAGAAAAUUCUCAAAGAAGAUACAUCGUAAGGAGAAGGAUCGCGAAGGGUUUAAAUGGCAAACAACGUCAGAAGUCGGCAGAAGGGGAAACGGAGAUAAUGACCAGGCGACGCUCCAGGACUCCAGGGGCCUUAGAGGCGGCAGCGGCGGCAACGUCCGCGAUUGACGACAAACCAUUGGUGCGUCACACCGAAUCGCCCAUUAAAGGCGCAGCGCAUCUCUCCGCAUGCAUCCCUUUCUCAUACACGGCGGCAAUAUUGGGUUUACGUCCACUCAAAGAUCCUCUUACGACGAUGCGUGCGCAACGUAUCCAAUUAGCGGGAACCGCGUAAGAGAGCGACUUCUCCCUUUCUCUCCAUCUCGCCUCCAUCGUCUACUCUUUUCCGCCUUCUCUACUUCCCGCGCUCCCACCGUACACUAGGGUCAAACGCUCGUAAACGUCCGGUGAAACGCUCGAGACUCGACCGGACUCGGCUCGACUCGACUCGUCUUGACUCGAAGUCGACUCGACUCUCGACCCCGGAGAGAGUCCGGUCGGAGCAGCGCCUAGGCACUCCGACAUCUAUGAAAAAUGUAUUAUGAAUUUCCCGGCGGCCAAUCGGAGGAAGCGCGGACAAUUUUGUUCAGUGACCUCGGAUUGGCAACUUUAAACGCGCCCUCUUCUCCAUCUCUACAUUCCCUCUCUUCUGUUCUUCUUUACCUUUACAAACUCCCUUCUGUUUUCUUUCGUGGCCAGCUUUCUUUCUUUCUUUUUUUUUUUCUCUUCUAUCUCUCUCUUCUUCUCCCUCACGCGUGCCUGGCCAAGCCUACAGGCCACAGGUGUAGUAAACCUCUUUACCUCGCGCGUAAUGGCCACUCUUACACUCGUGCCGCGCAUCUGUCGACUUUAUUGUUAGUGUGUAUUGCCACGACUCGCGUUUACUUCUUUUUUCUUAUCGUCGGCCUCUUUGCCCUCUGAUAAUUUUCUAUCUAGCACACACGACCUGCAUACUAGAAUCGACGCGCUAUGUAUAUUGUUUAUGACUUAAAGAAUUUUUGUUGUUCAUUCUUUCGUUGUAAAGAGUUAUGCCGUAUAACAUUACUCCGUCGUCAAAAUGAUCUAUAUAGCUUGUCAAUAGAUACGAUACCUUGAUCAUCUUCUCGAAUAUAAACAACAAUUGGUAAACAUCGGGACGUCUCUCAGAUCAGAGCUGACGGUUUUCUAACGCUUCCACGACGAUCAUCAAUCAAUGUUACUAUAUUUUUCAACAACCGUGACAUCAUUCGGCCAUUAUAAGAAGUGAGAACGAAUAAAAAUCUGUUCGGAAUUUUGCGAGGUUGAAUAUUAAUUCAAUCCAGUACGAAAACCGAAAUAAAAAUAUCUCUGACGACAUGUAAUAUUCAAGAUUACUCGUAUACAUUACAUUCUAUCAAAUCAUCGCCUUUACAAAUAGAUCUAAAAUAGUGAAGACAUUAUUAUCAUUGGAAAUUAAAAGAUCUCACGCGCUUGCAAAUAUUUUAAUAUCGAUAAAGAUCUGAUUAUUAAUCAUAAAUUCAGCAAAUUAUUUCGAUAAAUGUGAAGAGGAAGCGAUUAAAAGAAGUUUUCAAAGAAAUCAUACCAGAAACAAUCGCAAUUGUUGGACGCAGUUGAUGACAUUGCCGGAAAUCAAGACAAGCGACGCAGCUGAUUGCUCGUCGCAUUCGAUCAAGAUUGUCUUCAGCAUCCGCGCAUUAAUCAGCGUCGUGAACUACAACUACGUCCAGAGAGAAGGGGAGGAGAGGGGGGGGGGAAGGGAAGGGAAGGAAAAGGAAGGACGGGAACGAUGUGACACGACCGUGGCGCGAGUUCAUGAGCGCGACGCAGAAAAAUUCGAGAGAAGAUCCUAUUCUUAGCUCGCGAAUAUCCACCACCAUUCACGAGCGAGGGCCUUCGCGCCGUC